GAAUGAAGGAAGCAUGGUAAGGUGCACAGAGAUGAAAUCCGGGGUCCAAAUGUCUGCUCGCUUUGAUGCUUUAUGGCUUUGAUUACGCGAGCCUGGAUCCGACCUACAUUU
Molecule: small nucleolar RNA, 111 nt
Filed under: Nelumbo nucifera (sacred lotus)
Lineage: Eukaryota; Viridiplantae; Streptophyta; Magnoliopsida; Proteales; Nelumbonaceae
Description: Small nucleolar RNA snoR100
Rfam family: Small nucleolar RNA snoR100
Source: Rfam by way of RNAcentral